RNAcentral lists this transfer RNA (66 nucleotides) under Mantura chrysanthemi. RNAcentral's name for it is "tRNA-Asp". It matches the Rfam family "tRNA". From Rfam's summary of the family: Transfer RNA (tRNA) molecules are approximately 80 nucleotides in length. Their secondary structure includes four short double-helical elements and three loops (D, anti-codon, and T loops). Further hydrogen bonds mediate the characteristic L-shaped molecular structure. tRNAs have two regions of fundamental functional importance: the anti-codon, which is responsible for specific mRNA codon recognition, and the 3' end, to which the tRNAs corresponding amino acid is attached (by aminoacyl-tRNA synthetases). tRNAs cope with the degeneracy of the genetic code in two manners: having more than one tRNA (with a specific anti-codon) for a particular amino acid; and 'wobble' base-pairing, i.e. permitting non-standard base-pairing at the 3rd anti-codon position. The record is from RNAcentral. Lineage: Eukaryota; Metazoa; Arthropoda; Insecta; Coleoptera; Chrysomelidae.
AAAAAUUUAGUUAAAAGUAUAACAUUAGUUUGUCAAGCUAAAAUUAUUUAAACUAAAUAAUUUUUA